AGUGAGUGGCGAACUGGUGAGUAACACGUGGGAAACCUGCCCAGAAGCGGGGGAUAACACCUGGAAACAGAUGCUAAUACCGCAUAACAACUUGGACCGCAUGGUCCGAGCUUGAAAGAUGGCUUCGGCUAUCACUUUUGGAUGGUCCCGCGGCGUAUUAGCUAGAUGGUGGGGUAACGGCUCACCAUGGCAAUGAUACGUAGCCGACCUGAGAGGGUAAUCGGCCACAUUGGGACUGAGACACGGCCCAAACUCCUACGGGAGGCAGCAGUAGGGAAUCUUCCACAAUGGACGAAAGUCUGAUGGAGCAACGCCGCGUGAGUGAAGAAGGGUUUCGGCUCGUAAAACUCUGUUGUUAAAGAAGAACAUAUCUGAGAGUAACUGUUCAGGUAUUGACGGUAUUUAACCAGAAAGCCACGGCUAACUACGUGCCAGCAGCCGCGGUAAUACGUAGGUGGCAAGCGUUGUCCGGAUUUAUUGGGCGUAAAGCGAGCGCAGGCGGUUUUUUAAGUCUGAUGUGAAAGCCUUCGGCUCAACCGAAGAAGUGCAUCGGAAACUGGGAAACUUGAGUGCAGAAGAGGACAGUGG
RNAcentral lists this ribosomal RNA (588 nucleotides) under Lactiplantibacillus plantarum. RNAcentral describes it as "bacterial SSU rRNA". It matches the Rfam family "Bacterial small subunit ribosomal RNA", at positions 90 to 664 of the family's 1533-position model. The record is from RNAcentral. Lineage: Bacteria; Bacillati; Bacillota; Bacilli; Lactobacillales; Lactobacillaceae.